CAGCGCCUAACACAUGCCANGNNNGUNCGGAAACGAGAAGUAGCUUGCUACUUCGGCGUCGAGCGGCGGCCGGGAGAUNAAUGCCUAGGAAAUUGCCCUGAAUGUGGGGGAUAACCAUUGGAAACGAUGGCUAAUACCGCAUAAUGCCUUCGGGCCAAAGAGGGGGACCUUCGGGCCUCUCGCGUCAGGAUAUGCCUAGGUGGGAUUAGCUAGUUGGUGAGGUAAUGGCUCACCAAGGCGACGAUCCCUAGCUGGUCUGAGAGGAUGAUCAGCCACACUGGAACUGAGACACGGUCCAGACUCCUACGGGAGGCAGCAGUGGGGAAUAUUGCACAAUGGGCGCAAGCCUGAUGCAGCCAUGCCGCGUGUAUGAAGAAGGCCUUCGGGUUGUAAAGUACUUUCAGCAGUGAGGAAGGGGUGUACGUUAAUAGCGUGCAUCCUUGACGUUAGCUGCAGAAGAAGCACCGGCUAACUCCGUGCCAGCAGCCGCGGUAAUACGGAGGGUGCGAGCGUUAAUCGGAAUUACUGGGCGUAAAGCGCAUGCAGGUGGUUCGUUAAGUCAGAUGUGAAAGCCCGGGGCUCAACCUCGGAACUGCAUUUGAAACUGGCGGGCUAGAGUACUGUAGAGGGGGGUAGAAUUUCAGGUGUAGCGGUGAAAUGCGUAGAGAUCUGAAGGAAUACCAGUGGCGAAGGCGGCCCCCUGGACAGAUACUGACACUCAGAUGCNAAAGCGUGGGGAGCAACAGGAUUANAUACCCUGGUANUCACGCCGUAACGAUGUCUACUUGGAGGUUGUGNCUUNACCNNGGCUUCGNACUACGCGUNANUAAACCCCUGGGANUCGGUCCAAAAUAAACUCAAUNANUNACGGGGCCCNAAANNGNGNACUNUGUUAAUCNAU
Molecule: ribosomal RNA, 901 nt
Filed under: Vibrio tapetis
Lineage: Bacteria; Pseudomonadati; Pseudomonadota; Gammaproteobacteria; Vibrionales; Vibrionaceae
Description: partial 16S ribosomal RNA
Rfam family: Bacterial small subunit ribosomal RNA
Source: RNAcentral